Molecule: long non-coding RNA, 206 nt
Filed under: Setaria viridis
Lineage: Eukaryota; Viridiplantae; Streptophyta; Magnoliopsida; Poales; Poaceae
Description: long non-coding RNA (SVIR_LNC010363)
Source: RNAcentral
GAAGAACGCAAUCCAGUGCCUGAGGAACUCGCCACUGCCGAGAUUGCCGCUCGAUUCGGUGCCGGCCUCAUAUGGGUGCUGAUUUUUGUUGCCAAUAUUCAGUUUGCCAGGAUUUUCACGAGUUGCCGUUGGCAGGCCAGCUACUGGGCAACGAGCUGCAGCAAGCGACCAACCUUGCUUGCGCAGGAGAGCGGAUUCAGCUCGCC